UGGGGAAUAUUGGACAAUGGGCGCAAGCCUGAUCCAGCCAUGCCGCGUGAGUGAUGAAGGCCCUAGGGUUGUAAAGCUCUUUUACCCGCGACGAUAACGACGGUACCACGCGAAUCAGCCUCGGCUAACUCUGUGCCAGCAGCCGCGGUAAUACAGAGGGGGCAAGCGUUGUCCGGACUUACUGGGCGUAAAGCGCACGCAGGUGGUAACGCAAGUGGGGUGUGAAAGCCGCCAGCUCAACUGGCGGAGGCCAUCCCAAACUGCGUCACUUGAGGCCUGUAGAGGUAUGUGGAAUUGCCGGUGUAGUGGUGAAAUGCGUAGAGAUCGGCAGGAACACCCAGGGGGAAACCAGCAUACUGGACAGGUCCUGACACUCAGGUGCGACAGCGUGGGGAGCGAACCGGAUUAGAUACCCCGGUAGUUCC
Molecule: ribosomal RNA, 425 nt
Filed under: uncultured prokaryote
Description: bacterial SSU rRNA
Rfam family: Bacterial small subunit ribosomal RNA
Source: RNAcentral